This 253-nucleotide ribosomal RNA is filed under the name uncultured bacterium. RNAcentral's name for it is "partial 16S ribosomal RNA". It matches the Rfam family "Bacterial small subunit ribosomal RNA", at positions 524 to 776 of the family's 1533-position model. The record is from RNAcentral.
UACGUAGGGCGCAAGCGUGUCCGGAAUUAUUGGGCGUAAAGAGCUCGUAGGCGGCCUGUUACGUCUGCUGUGAAAUCCCGGGGCUUAACCCCGGGCGUGCAGUGGAUACGGGCAGGCUGGGGGCAGGCAGGGGAGAACGGAAUUCCCGGUGUAGCGGUGAAAUGCGCAGAGUAUCGGGAGGAACACCGGUGGCGAAGGCGGUUCUCUGGGCCUGUACUGACGCUGAGGAGCGAAAGCGUGGGGAGCGAACAGG